RNAcentral lists this ribosomal RNA (484 nucleotides) under uncultured bacterium. Its description in RNAcentral is "partial 16S ribosomal RNA". It matches the Rfam family "Bacterial small subunit ribosomal RNA", at positions 28 to 507 of the family's 1533-position model. The record is from RNAcentral.
AUUGAACGCUGGCGGCAUGCUUUACACAUGCAAGUCGAACGGCAGCGCGGGCUUUGGCAUGGCGGCGAGUGGGGCAUGGGUGAGUAAAGUAUAUCAACGCGUGUACUAGUGGGGGAUAGAGCGCGGAAAGCGCGGUUUAUACCCCAUACACCCUGUGGGGGUGAGAGCGGGGGACCUUCGCCCCUCGCUCUUGGGGGUUGCGAUGUCGGAUUAGCUAGUUGGUGGGGUAAAGGCUUACCAAGGCGACGAUCCGUAGCUGGUCUGAGAGGACGACCAGCCACACUGGGACUGAGACACGGCCCAGACUCCUACGGGAGGCAGCAGUGGGGAAUUUUGGACAAUGGGCGCAAGCCUGAUCCAGCCAUGCCGCGUGUGGGAAGAAGGCCUUCGGGUUGUAAAGCACUUUUGUUCGGGAAGAAAUCCUUUGCGCUAAUACCGCCGGGGGAUGACGGUACCGGAAGAAUAAGCACCGGCUAACUACGUG